UACGAAGGUCCCAAGCGUUAUCCGGAUUUAUUGGGUUUAAAGGGUGCGUAGGCGGCUUAUUAAGUCAGUGGUGAAAGCCCCAAGCUUAACUUGGGAAUUGCCAUUGAUACUGAUGAGCUUGAGUAGAUUUGAAGCGGGCGGAAUGUGUCGUGUAGCGGUGAAAUGCUUAGAUAUGACACAGAACACCGAUUGCGUAGGCAGCUCGCUAAACUCUUACUGACGCUGAGGCACGAAAGCAUGGGGAU
This 245-nucleotide ribosomal RNA is filed under the name uncultured Solitalea sp. RNAcentral describes it as "partial 16S ribosomal RNA". It matches the Rfam family "Bacterial small subunit ribosomal RNA", at positions 524 to 768 of the family's 1533-position model. Lineage: Bacteria; Pseudomonadati; Bacteroidota; Sphingobacteriia; Sphingobacteriales; Sphingobacteriaceae. The record is from RNAcentral.